RNAcentral lists this ribosomal RNA (218 nucleotides) under uncultured bacterium. RNAcentral describes it as "partial 16S ribosomal RNA". It matches the Rfam family "Bacterial small subunit ribosomal RNA", at positions 99 to 334 of the family's 1533-position model. The record is from RNAcentral.
CGCACGGGUGCGUAACGCGUGGGAAUCUGCCCUUAGGUACGGAAUAACAGUGAGAAAUUACUGCUAAUACCGUAUGAUGUCGAGAGACCAAAGAUUUAUCGCCUAGGGAUGAGCCCGCGUAGGAUUAGCUAGUUGGUGGGGUAAAGGCCUACCAAGGCUACGAUCCUUAGCUGGUCUGAGAGGAUGAUCAGCCACACUGGGACUGAGACACGGCCCAG